This 281-nucleotide long non-coding RNA is filed under the name Elaeis guineensis (African oil palm). RNAcentral describes it as "long non-coding RNA (EGUI_LNC005810)". The record is from RNAcentral. Lineage: Eukaryota; Viridiplantae; Streptophyta; Magnoliopsida; Arecales; Arecaceae.
UGGGCUUGGAGAUCGCCACCUAGUCGACUGUUGGAUCCUAAGGUGACUUUGAUGAGUCAACCUCCUCUCCGAACUUCGAGGAGGUGCCUGCGACUCUGGUUGAGGUAGUGGCUGCAAAGCCAUAGUUAAGGUAAAAUUCUAUGGGGGUGCCGCUACGAAAGGCACAAGCAGCACCACUAAGAAAACUGUAUGACAUACCACUGUAGGGGGUGCAGGGACAGUCUGAGAAGGCUGUGGCACUGUCUGAAAGGAUGCAAGAAAAGUUUAGAUCACUUGGAUCA